GCAUAUCAAUAAGCGGAGGAAAAGAAACUAACCAGGAUUCCCUUAGUAACGGCGAGUGAAGUGGGAAUGGCUCAAAUUUUAAAUCAGAUCGGGAAACCGAUUCGAAUUGUAAUCUAAAGAAGCGUUUUCAGCGUCCUCUCGGGUAUAGGUCCCUUGGAAUAGGGCAUCAUAGAGGGUGAGAAUCCCGUUUGUGACACGAGUUCGGAUGCGAUACGUUACGCUUUCGACGAGUCGAGUUGUUUGGGAUUGCAGCUCAAAAUGGGGGGUAAAUUCCAUCUAAGGCUAAAUAAUUGCAAGAGACCGAUAGCGAACAAGUACCGUGAGGGAAAGAUGAAAAGAACUUUGAAAAGAGAGUCAAACAGUACGUGAAAUUGUUGAAAGGGAAACGAUUGAAGCCAGUCAUGCCGGUGGGAAAUCAGCUUCCGGGGAAACCUGGUUGUGCACUUUCUCGCAAGGCAGGUUAGCGUCAGUUUCGCCAGUCGUAAAAAGUCCGUCGGAAUGUGACUCCAUUCGGAGUGUUAUAGCCAGCGGUCAAUGCGACGUGCGGGAUUGAGGAUUGCAGCGAGGGCCUUUCUAGGCUAAGUGCCUGGCCCUUGUUCGUGGUCGUCUUGGUAGCAGCGUGCUGAUGCCGAGCCCGAUUCUAGGACACGGGGUCUAGCGUCACGGUAAAUUCGUUAAGGAUGUUGACGUA
This 691-nucleotide ribosomal RNA is filed under the name uncultured Glomeromycotina. RNAcentral describes it as "eukaryotic LSU rRNA". It matches the Rfam family "Eukaryotic large subunit ribosomal RNA", at positions 38 to 633 of the family's 3401-position model. The record is from RNAcentral. Lineage: Eukaryota; Fungi; Glomeromycota.